GAACAGGUGGCAGCUGUGCGUUUGAAGGGAGUCGCGGUUGAUUAUGCCCUAGAAUGGAUUAUUUCAGAAGGAAUAGCAACACAGCAUUGUGUCAAUAGCAUGAUUGUGCCAUUCUGACUUGGACCUGUGGCUUCUGAUUCAGCCUGAGAGGUAAUUCACCAGUGAUUUAUAGGGGAGGCACUGUGUUGGACCCUACAAUAAAGGAGUAACUGCCAG
Molecule: long non-coding RNA, 216 nt
Filed under: Penaeus monodon (black tiger shrimp)
Lineage: Eukaryota; Metazoa; Arthropoda; Malacostraca; Decapoda; Penaeidae
Description: uncharacterized LOC119574855
Source: RNAcentral